AUCGAAUUCAUCAAGGUGGUCGAG
This 24-nucleotide non-coding RNA is filed under the name Arabidopsis thaliana (thale cress). The record is from RNAcentral. Lineage: Eukaryota; Viridiplantae; Streptophyta; Magnoliopsida; Brassicales; Brassicaceae.